This 613-nucleotide ribosomal RNA is filed under the name uncultured bacterium. Its description in RNAcentral is "bacterial SSU rRNA". The stretch from base 1 to 536 matches the Rfam family "Bacterial small subunit ribosomal RNA", at positions 338 to 873 of the family's 1533-position model. The record is from RNAcentral.
CCUACGGGAGGCAGCAGUAGGGAAUAUUGGGCAAUGGGCGCAAGCCUGACCCAGCCAUGCCGCGUGCCGGAAGAAGGCCCUCUGGGUUGUAAACGGCUUUUGACGGGGAAGAAACGACUCUUGCGAGAGGCAUUGACGGUACCCGCAGAAUAAGCACCGGCUAACUCCGUGCCAGCAGCCGCGGUAAUACGGAGGGUGCAAGCGUUGUCCGGAUUUAUUGGGUUUAAAGGGUGCGUAGGCGGUCUGGUAAGUCGGCGAUGAAAGCCCGGGGCUCAACCCCGGAACUGUCGUCGAUACUGUCGGACUUGAAUAUGGUGGAGGCUGGCGGAAUGGGCGGUGUAGCGGUGAAAUGCAUAGAUACCGUCCAGAACCCCGAUUGCGAAGGCAGCUGGCUGUACCAUUAUUGACGCUGAGGCACGAAAGCGUGGGGAGCGAACAGGAUUAGAUACCCUGGUAGUCCACGCCGUAAACGAUGGAUACUCGUCGUCGGCGAUAGAUAGUCGGCGGACUCAGACGAAGACGGUAGUACUACCACCGUCGGAGGUACGCCGCGACGUACGAACGACGAAGAAGUAGACGCGNGAGACGNGCGACGACGACGACGAGGAGGAGG